Molecule: long non-coding RNA, 1584 nt
Filed under: Nicotiana benthamiana
Lineage: Eukaryota; Viridiplantae; Streptophyta; Magnoliopsida; Solanales; Solanaceae
Description: long non-coding RNA (NBEN_LNC032713)
Source: RNAcentral
GUAACACGACCUCGAUGGGUCCCUACAAUACCAACACAUAGCCUGAAAUAUGAUUUCUAGCAUGAUUUGUACUUCAAAUCUAUAACACAUGGAGAAUUUAUGGAUAACAACAGAUUAUUCAACUAUACAGUUCCAUGAAAUUGAACGAGCAAAAAUUAUUGCAGUGCACGCCCACACGCCGGCCACGUAACAUGUGUGUCUCCUCAACACUAAUCACAAAACACAUAAUACAGGGUUUCAUACCCUCAUAACCAAAUUUAGAACUGUUACUUUUCUCAGACCGUAUAAAUCUCUACUCCAACACGCUCUUGCCUCGCGUAUCAGCCUCCAAAUGCCUCGAAUCUAGCCACAAACAAUUCGAUACAAUCAGCAUGGGAUAAAGGAACUAAUUCCAUAAGAAAAUACCAAGCUCUAAAUCAAAAGUCAAAAAGUCAACUCAUAAGUCGGUCUCAAAUCCCACAUCUCGAAAUUCGAUAAAAGUCAUGAAAUCCGAAAGCCCAUUCAAUCACGAGUCCAAUCAUACCAAAUUAACCAAAAUUCGACACCAAAUCGUCACUCAAAUCCCCAAUUUAAACUCUUCAAAUCCCUUGCCUCAACCCCCAAAAUUACACCUCAAAGACACACCAACUAGGUGGUAAAUUCAAUGGGGAAACAAGAUUAUCGAAUAAAAACGAGCACAAAUAACUCAGCCAAGGAAACCCCUCAAAAAUUGCCCAAUCCUGGGCUUCAAAUGUUUAAAAUGGUGAAAAUAUCGGAACCCUCGUCUUUAAGUUAUCUACCCAGGCUUUCCGCACCUUCGCUCCAAAAAUCCGCUUCUGCGACUCCAAUUCAACUUGCCCCUUUCUACUUCUGCGGAAGACCCUAAGCAAAUGCGCCUUUGCAUCAGCGAAAACAUUUGCGCUCCUAUGACCACUUUCCAAUCCCUUAUAGGUUGCAUUUGUGCUAGCCACCCUACACCUGCGAGUUCCCACCUGCGAACAAUGUUCUGCAUGUGCGAUUUCACCAGAAGGCUUCAGCUACGGCAGUUUUUCAAACUCAAAUUUGAUCUGAAAAUCAUUUGAACUCCACCAGAGGCCCCCGAGACCUAAACCGAACAUACCAUCAAGUCCUAAAAUACGAUACAAACUUAGUUGAGCCUUCAAAUCACAUCAAACAAUAAAAAAACAUGAAUCCCACCCCAAUUGAAGCCUAAUGAAUCUAAGGAAAUCCAGCUUUUACAAACGACAUCCAAACAUAUAAAAACCACGUAAGAUUGAUCCCAAAUUUUGCACACAACUCACAAAUGAUACCAUGGACCUACUCCAACUCCCGAAACUCCAAACCGACCCUGGUAACCACAAAGUCCACUCUCUGUUAAACUUUCAAAUUCCCAACUUUCAUGAUUUCAAGCCUAAUUCAACUAUGGACUUCCAAAUACAAAUUCUUACACACACCUAAGUCCAAAAUCACCAAAGGAGGUAAUGGAACCAUCAAAACUCCAUUCCGGAGUUGUUUACACAUAAGUCAAGGUCAACCAUUACAAUUAAGCUUUUAACCUUGAGACUAAGAGUCUUGACUAAUUUUGAAACCUCUCCAAACUUGAAC